CCUACGGGUGGCUUCAGUGGGGAAUAUUGGACAAUGGGCGAAAGCCUGAUCCAGCCAUGCCGCGUGUGUGAAGAAGGCCUUCGGGUUGUAAAGCACUUUCAGUGGGGAAGAAAGCCUUGGGGCUAAUACCCUCGAGGAAGGACAUCACCCACAGAAGAAGCACCGGCUAACUCCGUGCCAGCAGCCGCGGUAAUACGGAGGGUGCGAGCGUUAAUCGGAAUUACUGGGCGUAAAGCGCGCGUAGGCGGUCUGAUAAGCCGGUUGUGAAAGCCCCGGGCUCAACCUGGGAACGGCAUCCGGAACUGUCAGGCUAGAGUGCAGGAGAGGAAGGUAGAAUUCCCGGUGUAGCGGUGAAAUGCGUAGAGAUCGGGAGGAAUACCAGUGGCGAAGGCGGCCUUCUGGACUGACACUGACGCUGAGGUGCGAAAGCGUGGGUAGCAAACAGGAUUAGAUCCCCGGGUAGUC
RNAcentral lists this ribosomal RNA (465 nucleotides) under Vreelandella stevensii. Its description in RNAcentral is "partial 16S ribosomal RNA". It matches the Rfam family "Bacterial small subunit ribosomal RNA", at positions 338 to 795 of the family's 1533-position model. The record is from RNAcentral. Lineage: Bacteria; Pseudomonadati; Pseudomonadota; Gammaproteobacteria; Oceanospirillales; Halomonadaceae.